This 465-nucleotide ribosomal RNA is filed under the name uncultured bacterium. RNAcentral's name for it is "partial 16S ribosomal RNA". It matches the Rfam family "Bacterial small subunit ribosomal RNA", at positions 338 to 795 of the family's 1533-position model. The record is from RNAcentral.
CCUACGGGAGACAGCAGUAGGGAAUCUUCCACAAUGGGCGAAAGCCUGAUGGAGCAACGCCGCGUGGGUGAAGAAGGUCUUCGGAUCGUAAAACCCUGUUGUUAGAGACGAAAGUGCGUGAGAGUAACUGUUCACGUUUCGACGGUAUCUAACCAGAAAGCCACGGCUAACUACGUGCCAGCAGCCGCGGUAAUACGUAGGUGGCAAGCGUUAUCCGGAUUUAUUGGGCGUAAGGGGAACGCAGGCGGUCUUUUAAGUCUGAUGUGAAAGCCUUCGGCUUAACCGGAGUAGUGCAUUGGAAACUGGGAGACGUGAGUGCAGAAGAGGAGAGUGGAACUCCAUGUGUAGCGGUGAAAUGCGUAGAUAUAUGGAAGAACACCAGUGGCGAAAGCGGCUCUCUGGUCUGUAACUGACGCUGAGGUUCGAAAGCGUGGGUAGCAAACAGGAUUAGAUACCCCAGUAGUC